This 253-nucleotide ribosomal RNA is filed under the name uncultured bacterium. RNAcentral describes it as "partial 16S ribosomal RNA". It matches the Rfam family "Bacterial small subunit ribosomal RNA", at positions 524 to 776 of the family's 1533-position model. The record is from RNAcentral.
UACGUAGGGACCAAGCGUUGUUCGGAUUUACUGGGCGUAAAGGGCGCGUAGGCGGCCUUCUAAGUCAGACGUGAAAUCCCCCGGCUUAACCUGGGAACUGCGUCUGAUACUGGGAGGCUUGAGUAUGGGAGAGGGAUGUAGAAUUCCAGGUGUAGCGGUGAAAUGCGUAGAUAUCUGGAGGAAUACCGGUGGCGAAGGCGGCAUCCUGGACCAUUACUGACGCUGAGGCGCGAAAGCUAGGGGAGCAAACGGG